GUUUUCCUUGUCAUGACUCAUAUGGAAAGAAGUUUCGAAGACAUCUAAUGUAAGGUUACGUGUACAAAAUAGUACAAAUAUUUUAGUCUCCCCUAAUCGAAUAUUUAAUGUAAUCAACCUAACUGGCCAACUCUUAUAAUUAUUGACUAAUACAAAAACGAAAGUGAAGAGUCGUCAUUCAUUAAACGAACAAAAAACAUGCAUAACGUGUCUAGCGAGACCGGUCGAAUUUGCGAUGUGUUAGGUUCGUGCCGGUGAUCUCUUCUUACAAGUUUCGUUUCUUUGGGUAUGACCGUCACGUGGCGGUACUAGUGGUAGGUCUGUUUCAUGACAGCUUCAAACUGCAACGUGUCGUAGUAUAGUUCGAUUGUCGUGCUUUAUAGCU
This is a long non-coding RNA of Arabidopsis thaliana (thale cress), 385 nucleotides long. RefSeq annotates it as other RNA. The transcript has a single exon. NCBI's taxonomy places the organism in Eukaryota, Viridiplantae, Streptophyta, Magnoliopsida, Brassicales, Brassicaceae. The record is from RefSeq.